UACGUAGGUGGCAAGCGUUGUCCGGAAUUAUUGGGCGUAAAGCGCGCGCAGGCGGUCCUUUAAGUCUGAAUGUGAAAGCCCACGGCUCAACCGUGGAGGGUCAUUGGAAACUGGGGGACUUGAGUACAGAAGAGAAGAGUGGAAUUCCACGUGUAGCGGUGAAAUGCGUAGAGAUGUGGAGGAACACCAGUGGCGAAGGCGACUCUUUGGUCUGUAACUGACGCUUGAGGCGCGAAAGCGUGGGGAGCAAACAGG
This 255-nucleotide ribosomal RNA is filed under the name uncultured bacterium. RNAcentral describes it as "partial 16S ribosomal RNA". It matches the Rfam family "Bacterial small subunit ribosomal RNA", at positions 524 to 776 of the family's 1533-position model. The record is from RNAcentral.